CGAUGGUGAUCGGUCAUGGUAUCCAUAGCAUUGCUUCUUUUUCGGCCAAAUCCUGAUUUCGUUUUCCUUCUCCCGGUCGUCGAGCCUGAUCGACUCGACUCUUUUCCCUGCCCCCCGGCCUCUCACUUCCUUUCGUUCUUCUUCUGUAUUGUCGCUUGAAUGAAGACACCUGAUCGGCCCGACUUUACCGAAUGUCCACCACCGGCCCUUCUCCUUUCCGGGUCUGGUUUUUUCGCGUCGUUUCAGUCGUCGUGGUCGACGGGGAAGAAAGAAAUUAAUGAAUGUUCUUUUGGGAAAAUGUAGAAUAAUACACCUACCGAGACGAAAGCCAAAGGUGAGUCUCGUAGGUGGACGUAUCGAACCGAAAUAAGAUCUCAGAUUGACAUCUUGAUACACUAAUUUACCAUAAUAAUAA
This 415-nucleotide unclassified non-coding RNA is filed under the name Hevea brasiliensis (rubber tree). Lineage: Eukaryota; Viridiplantae; Streptophyta; Magnoliopsida; Malpighiales; Euphorbiaceae. The record is from RNAcentral.